CUGCAUGGCGUGUCGUCAGCUCGUGCUGGUGAAGUGUUGGGUUAAGUCCCAUAACGAGCGCAACCCCUACCUUUAGUUGCCAUCAGGUUAAGCUGGGGACUCUAAAGGAACUGCCUACGCAAGUAGUGAGGAAGGCGGGGAUGACGUCAAAUCAGCACGGCCCUUACGUCCAGGGCUACACACGUGCUACAAUGGCCGAUACAGAGGGCAGCUACCUGGUGACAGGAUGCAAAUCUCCAAAGUCGGUCUCAGUUCGGAUCGGAGUCUGCAACCCGACUCCGUGAAGUUGGAUUCGCUAGUAAUCGCGCAUCAGCCAUGGCGCGGUGAAUACGUUCCCGGGCCUU
Molecule: ribosomal RNA, 344 nt
Filed under: uncultured Sphingobacteriales bacterium
Lineage: Bacteria; Pseudomonadati; Bacteroidota; Sphingobacteriia; Sphingobacteriales
Description: bacterial SSU rRNA
Rfam family: Bacterial small subunit ribosomal RNA
Source: RNAcentral